Long non-coding RNA from Raphanus sativus (radish), 1266 nucleotides. RefSeq lists it as uncharacterized. The record is from RefSeq and is a predicted model, not a curated record. The transcript has 6 exons. Lineage: Eukaryota; Viridiplantae; Streptophyta; Magnoliopsida; Brassicales; Brassicaceae.
CUUCUUCACGACAUCUCUGAAGGCUAUGUCAUGUUUCUAGACUAUGUUUUAGCUACAGCUUCUUGAAGGUAAAUCCUCGAGGAGGUGAUGAUAGCUUGCUGUUAUUUUGACUACGCAACAUCUCUACAAAAAAACUGAGGAAAAAAUGAUUCUUGCAGAACCUACCCAAAUAUUUAUGUCAUCUAAUCAACAUUUUGAGGUAUCUUCUCUCUUGCGCUCUUUUAAACUUGAGUAAGUGUUUGUAUCAGUCAUCUCAUUAUAGGAUCAUGAUCACUUAUUAGGGUCACAGACAUAUCUAAGCAUGACUUUAUGUUUUAUUUGGAGAGACCAAGGUGAAAGAGCAAAGGCUUUGAGAAUGAGGCCUGGGAGAAAGACAGGAGCGCUGCAGCAGGAGACUCCGCCAAGCUUCGUCACGAGGAUAUGGUCCUACAAAAACAGAAAUACGUCAAGGUCAUAGUUAGUGCCUUAGUGACAAUAGCUUUGGUGAUAGAGUGAAAGCUGGCAGACGACAGAUGAUAUUCCCCGCGUUGCUGAUUUUCUGCACGGUUAAAAAGUGCUAGGAGAUUUCUCUGCUCCUCUUCCGAGUAGAACAAAUGUGAAAAAGUGCAGCUGAGUUUCUGUUGAGAGGAUCUCUGAGUAUCCGAUUGAAGUCACCAUUUUAGCCAUCAGACCUCUAACAUAAUCGUUAAUCUUAAAGCACAAUUUCAGUGGGUCAUCAUGGCAAUUUGAGUACUUGGUAGAGCUUUCUUUGCAUUAAGGAAUGACAAUCUCACAGCCGAAGCGAAUGCACAACACCCUCUGAAUUUCUUCUUGAAUCUUAUAUUAAUUAAAAGAAAAUGCUGAUUUCAUAUUGCGUAGGUUUUCUCCCCAUGUAUGCAGAUAUAUGGUGACCCGGAAUCAGCUAUGUUGUGUUCACGUCGGGAGCAGAGAUCACUGUUGUGUGGAUAAUCAUCACUUCCCAACCUAAACUAACAGGUGACAUGUGCAAAUUGUAAAGAGAUUGCCACGCCAAAUCUGAUGGUGUUCAUGUGAGUUUGAAAAGAAGCAAGUAUGUUUGGUGGGUUUUGUUCAAAUUAGAGAGUACAGGUGGUGAAACUGAGUGUUUUACGUUUGUUAUAUGAGAAAUGAGACUACUGUUUUGGAUUUAGUGGGAGAUGAAGUGUGUGGUACUAAUGAGGAGAAUGUGGUAUGCACCUUUUAUGAGCUGCUAUUUUAACAGUGUGAACAAUGUGUGUAUUCAUUAUUUGAUUUAAGCCUUUAACGUCA